UACGGAGGAUGCGAGCGUUAUCCGGAUUUAUUGGGUUUAAAGGGUGCGUAGGCGGACUGUCAAGUCAGCGGUAAAAUACGGGGGCUCAACCUCCGCCCGCCGUUGAAACUGACGGUCUUGAGUGGGCGAGAAGUAUGCGGAAUGCGUGGUGUAGCGGUGAAAUGCAUAGAUAUCACGCAGAACUCCGAUUGCGAAGGCAGCAUACCGGCGCCCAACUGACGCUGAAGCACGAAAGCGUGGGUGUCGAACAGG
Molecule: ribosomal RNA, 252 nt
Filed under: uncultured bacterium
Lineage: Bacteria
Description: partial 16S ribosomal RNA
Rfam family: Bacterial small subunit ribosomal RNA
Source: RNAcentral